Molecule: ribosomal RNA, 253 nt
Filed under: uncultured bacterium
Lineage: Bacteria
Description: partial 16S ribosomal RNA
Rfam family: Bacterial small subunit ribosomal RNA
Source: RNAcentral
UACGAAGGGUGCAAGCGUUACUCGGAAUUACUGGGCGUAAAGCGUGCGUAGGUGGUUUGUUAAGUCUGUUGUGAAAGCCCCGGGCUCAACCUGGGAAUGGCAAUGGAUACUGGCAGGCUAGAGUGCGGUAGAGGGUAGUGGAAUUCCCGGUGUAGCGGUGAAAUGCGUAGAGAUCGGGAGGAACACCAGUGGCGAAGGCGGCUCACUGGUCCGGUACUGACGCUGAGGUGCGAAAGCGUGGGGAGCAAACAGG